AAAGAAUCAAACAAGAAAAGGGUAACAGAGAGAAAGAGGGUUCCAUAAACCACCAGAAGAAAGUGUCCUGAAGCAAAGAAUAAGAAUAUAGUAGUAUUCUUCAAUGGCGGCAUUCUCUUUAACAAUUGUAAUCUCCAUUGGAACUUUGCCUAAGUUCUGUAGCAAAUCCUCAAAAUCUUUAGAUCCUUACUUGUCAUUUCGCUGAAUCAUCUCAUCAAUUGCGGUAUGAAUUCUUUUUUUAGUAUAGAUUAUAACAUCAUUUCUACAGUUUUAGUGUUUGAUGUAAGUUAUUAACUGAAAUUUAUGCUUCUUUAUAGUUGUCUGUUGAUUGUGGCAUUACUGUAAAGUGGUACCAAGUGUUUCUUCUUCUUCUUUUCUUAGGUUGUGUUUUUUUCAGUGGCACCUCUAUUAAGAGGCAUUCAGACGUAAUCAAACACACCCUUACUUUCCUUCUUUUUUUUUCGUGCUUGUUUGUGUGGAUAUAAUAGCUUUAAUAUGAUGUACUUUGUGCUACAUAUAUGUAUCAUGAAUAACUUGGUUUUUUUCUGGCCUUAAUCCUGAAUAAAGACUUUUAAAAAAUAUAUAAAAAAUAAAAAUUAUGGCUUUAUGGGGAUUGUCUUUUAUGGGCAAUCUGAGAUCAAAAAUUCAUUUGAUAAGUUAAAGGGUGUAGUAUAGAUUUGACCUGGAACAAGUUUGAGAAGGGGAGCAGCAUUCAAAAUUUGUGUAUGCACAUGAUAUUUAAUAUCAGGUUAAUUAAAAUUUGAGAUUGAUCCUUCCUUGCAUAAACUAAUGUAUAAAUUUCACUAUAAUGUCCACAUUCAUAAAUUUAGGGGACACUCAGUUCAAUUAAUUUUGGGAGUGAGAAAUGAAUAUGAACUGUCCUGUAAAUUGUUAAUGUUCAUAGCACUGUUACCAGUUCUCAUUAUACCUUGGUUCUAUAAAAUUUAUACUCCACAAGAUCAUUUGAGGGAUGCAUGUUGCUUCUCUUACUCAUUGUGUAAGCUGUGUCAAUAGACUUUUCUACUACGUGUUUUUACCUCUCUUUAUAGAGGAGAUUUUCCAUAUUAAAGGGUGGGACCCUCAUGUUGUAUCAUUAUUAUUAAUGAGUGGAGCUAAUUAAGGGAUUAAAGAAGUUCAUUAAUAAGUGAUAUUGUAAGACCCCAACUUAUUAUAAAUAAAAUUAAAUUUUCCUCUAUUCAUUAUUCUUAAUUAAUAAGGUGUUAAUUGGAUAUAAUGCUUUGGUUAUGGGUGAAAUGUGCAAAUUUUGCAAAAUAAGCAAGUGAUUAUAAAAUAUUCAUUUCUGUCGGGGAAUAUUCUUUUUGUCUGGAAUAUCCGUACGACGGCGCAGUCAUUUGUGAGUCCCAUAACGGAAUAACUGUCGGAUGAAGAAAACGACAAAUUUGAGUUUUUAUAAAUAACGACGUAGUUACCGUUAACACUGUUGGAUUACCUGGUGGUUAAAAUACAGUAAUACGCGUGGUUGCACAGUAGCAUGCGGUAUUGCACAGUAUUAUUGAAUUAUUGAUUCGUACGUAAGAAGACACUACUCAAUAAUUGUUACAGUAAUUACUGUUCAAUAUUUUAUUUUAUUGAUUCAAUAAUUGUUGCGUUGAUAUUUUAUAUUAUUGUUGUUUCAAUAAUUGUCACUGCACAAUAUUUCCCAUUAUCAGAUCAAUAAUUCAUAUUAUUUGAAUAAUAUUAUUAGAUAGCAUUAUUGGCAAUAUCUAGAAAAUUCUGUCAAGGAGUGGUUUGGUCACCUAAUUGCGCGCCAGUAAGGAGAAAUCCUUAUUGGAAAGCCUCCUCUUUCCUGGGAACGACCUGGUUGUCAUAAUUGUGAUUCUGUGAUAUUAUUUGUGAAUAAUUAAUUAUUGAUUUAUAUGAUAAGGAAUUAUUUAUUUAAUGUGGAUAUAAUUGAUGGUUAUAUUUAUUUUAUGUGGUUAUAAAUGAAGGAGUUAAUGUUGAGGUGUUUUAUCAGUAUUUUGUCGGAUUGGAGGUAUUAAAAACUCAAAUCGGUGUUCUUAAAGCUUUAUCGCGUGAGUUAUAAUUUUAAUCCGACCGUAUCGUUGUGAUUUUUGGAUAUGUUAUACAUAUAUGAGUUGAGUAUAUGUCCACAAAUUUUGAACCGUUGAAAAUUAACGCAUGAUUUGUUAUGAAUUUUAAAAGGGGUUGAAACAGUGUUUAAAGUCAUCCGUUUGUGGAUUUCGGAUAUUUUCGGUCUGGAAUUUGGAAAAACUUUCUUCUGCAAAGUUGUAGAGAAUUCGAUUUCGUGUGGAAUGGACAUAAAAUUCGUAUUUUUCUGAUAAACGGGCUAUUUUCUAUGAAUUGUUGAAGUUUCGGUAAAUAAAAUAAUUUUUAUUAAAAAUGGGGUGGGACCCACUUUGGUUGGUGUUAAUAACAUGUGGGCUGCUGAAAUUUUCAGAAUUAAGGGGUUGGAGAUUUUCAAAGAGCAUGCGUAGAAAAAAUAUAAGGUUAUAUCAUAUUUUAAUAUUUUAGUCUCCUAUGUCGUUCUAGCAUUUUUCUAUAAAUAGGCGCUUAAGUUAGAAUUGAAAAUCACACCAGAAACAAGUUUUCUUUCUCUUUAUAUUGUGGAGUGUAUUUUUGUGAGUAUUUUGAUACUUUGAGAGUUGCUAUUCGGUGCAAGUUUCUGUCAGCACUAUAUCCGAAAUUCAGUCAGAAGUACGGUUAUUUUGAGGUAAGGGAUGUUAUUUUAUUCUUAAAUGAUAUUAUUUUCUUCAAUAUCAUUAUGCCGAAAUAUUGGUGAACGUUUUAAUCAAAUUUGGAACUUUUUGUGUCGGGAUUACUAUUCACGUAUACGACACUAUUCACGUAUACGGCACUAUUCACGAAUACGACAUUAUUCACCGAAAAAUGAAAUUUUCUUCUUUUUGUCCAAGAUGUCUAUUAUGGUUACUAUCUUUGAUUGUAUCCAUGUUUUGAUCGUUAUUUUUGAAUUCUGCUUCACAAUUGGUUAUUAUGAAGUAUUAUUGAUUUUGGAUAAACUGUUAUACGAAUCCCUAAUAUUUGUCCUUCUGUCUCACUGGAUUCGUUUUCUUUAAAAUAUUUUUCAUCAUCCUCAGUCCUAAAUGAUGAUAUUACUGAAUAUCUUUGGCCUGUAGUGCAAAGAUGAAUGAUUAACUGAUGAAUAUCUUUGGCCCGUAGUGCAAAGAUGAACAGGUGUUGAGAUGAACAUGACCAACUGGUGAUACAAAUGAAUAUCUUUGGCCUGUAGUGCAAAGAUGAAUAUUUGAUUAAAGAUGUAUAUUGAUUGUUGUUACAGGGAUAAAAAUAUUGAUGAUGGACUUUUAAAUCUUAGAAGAUAGUAGAACUCAUUCUCUACUUGACUCUUCUAAUUGAUUGUUGUUUCCGCUGCAGCUGUUGAUCUAAAACUUGUUUUCUAUUGUAUUUUAUCAGAUUUUUCCCUGUUGAAGACUAAUGAUAAUUUGUUGUAUAUUAUCUUAGUCAUAAUAUUCUUUACUGGGCUAGUUGAGCUCACCCUUUUUCUUUUUGUUCCAAUUUUCUUCUCAGGAGGUGAGAACAUAGCAGGAUCGAGUCGGGGUAUGGAGUAAUGGUUCUAGAAAGAUAUUUUAGCAGUCCUCACUAUUUCUAUAAAAUAGUGUAUGAAUAAUUAUAAUGAGGACUUAUUUGAGUGUUGAUAUUGUCUAGAAGACAAUAUUUGUAUUUAAACUCACAGUAUGUGUUGUCGUAUUCUGCACGACAAUUGUAUUAUUGAAGUAGUAGUUUUCUUUCUGUACUAUGUAUUUGGCGACUCAGAAUGGGUGUUGUAUACCUAUUUUGGGGGCGUCACAGAUAUGGCUAAUUCAAAGGGAUAAAACUGUUUGUUCUGCAACCUGUCC
Molecule: long non-coding RNA, 3854 nt
Filed under: Panax ginseng (ginseng)
Lineage: Eukaryota; Viridiplantae; Streptophyta; Magnoliopsida; Apiales; Araliaceae
Description: long non-coding RNA (PGIN_LNC004854)
Source: RNAcentral